This 301-nucleotide ribosomal RNA is filed under the name uncultured bacterium. Its description in RNAcentral is "partial 16S ribosomal RNA". It matches the Rfam family "Bacterial small subunit ribosomal RNA", at positions 512 to 808 of the family's 1533-position model. The record is from RNAcentral.
CAUCGCCGCGGGAAUACGGAGGGAGCUAGCGUUGUUCGGAAUUACUGGGCGUAAAGCGCGCGUAGGCGGUUACUCAAGUCAGAGGUGAAAGCCCGGGGCUCAACCCCGGAACUGCCUUUGAAACUAGGUGACUAGAAUCUUGGAGAGGUCAGUGGAAUUCCGAGUGUAGAGGUGAAAUUCGUAGAUAUUCGGAAGAACACCAGUGGCGAAGGCGACUGACUGGACAAGUAUUGACGCUGAGGUGCGAAAGCGUGGGGAGCAAACAGGAUUAGAUACCCCCGUAGUCCCUGUCUCUUAUACA